ACGGUCUUAUAGUGUUGAAACACCGGUUGCCAUACGAUUACCGAAGCGAAGCAAAGUCGAGCCUGGUCAAUACCGAGGUGGGUAACCGCUUCGGAAUACCAGAUGCUGUAAG
Molecule: non-coding RNA, 112 nt
Organism: Acanthosepion pharaonis
Lineage: Eukaryota; Metazoa; Mollusca; Cephalopoda; Sepiida; Sepiidae
Source: the annotation of a GenBank genome assembly